UCAGGCUACACCUGGCCUUAACAUCCUGACUCAACACCUUCUGUGCUUUCUUCCUGGCUUCCCUCGUUCGGCCCUGUCCCUCGAACAUGGCAUCGCUGAACUUAGCCUGGUUACAUUUCUUGAACUGGGAUCUACCUAGCUGAGUGGGGUCUGCUAACCGUUCGACCUCCCACAGUAGCUCGACCAGUCGGGUGCCGUCUUCCACUCCCUUGGCUGACCUGGAGUCGCUGCCGUUGUUACGUGCUUGGCUAAAACACCGUGCCUCGCCAAUCCCUCGCCAGUCUCGUUCCCCAUAUUAUACUCAGAACAGGGGGCAUGUGUUUGUGUUCACUGUACACUCCUCGUGUGCUCCAGGGCACUUUACUUGGAAGCCUUCCCCUCUCAGCCAGGACCCAGUCCAACACAGUUUGUGUUGAAUUUCUUUCCAGGCAUAUUACUUUUGGGUAAAUUAUAACUUAGAACAUGUGCAUAGUUUGAGUUGUAACUGAAUGUACAUUAAUGUUUAAUAUCAAAAUAUCCUUUGUUUAAACUACUAUUUUCGCUGUGUUUUUCUGUACAGACCUCCACUUGGCCAUGUAUAUGUAGAACUUUGACCUUCUUCUGCCAAGCACAUUUCCACAUCUAGACUCCAUCCAUUUUUUAAGAAGGGCUGUGUUCAAGUUAACAAAUCUCUGACCAAACCAUCACCAGUGUGCCCUAAAUCGAACCUGACCUUGAAACAACAGAAACACUAUGAUGAGAAAACAAAGAAGGAUCCAUCAUUGCCACCGUGUUUGAAGGCUGCUGAACAAACCUGCUUCAGACAUCAUCAGGAUUCUUUCUACAAGAAGUCAUCUGUGUACAGUCAGACAUAUGUACUUAAAGGUCUGCCUGAUGAAGAAGGAACUUCAGCUGGCUUCUCGUUUAAACUGUGGGAAUGCAUGUUCCAAGUCUUCAUUUUAAAGAGACUUCAUUUUGGAGACUUUAUGCGCCAGACACCUAUCACAGAUUUUGACAAUGGCAACAUUGUUGGCAGAAGAUGUUGAGCUUAACCCUGGCCCUUGGACAGUAAAUCUGUCUUAAUUCAUUACUGUUAGUUAUUUAUUCAGGAGUUAAACAGUUUAUGGUCUCACUUACAGCUGUACAAAGUUGGUAUGUGUUUUACACCGUGGAAUAUUUGUUUCUUGAUUACCACUGAGGCUUAUUCAUGGCUAUGAGCAUCAACAGCAUCAUGUCAUUUGGGGGUGUUAUAGGAAAGUUUUGUGGCCGUGUUACAAAAUUAGCACUCUAACAACUAUAUUUCUUUUAUUUCUGCAAACAUGUUAUCAGUGAACUUUUUAUCAAAUAAGUUUAUUUUUUCUUUUCUUUUUUUUUUUUGAUUUGCAGCAUCCUUGCUGUCGGGAGGGAUGUACAGCUGUUCAUCACACCAUUCAAAAGUAAGUACGCAAUGCUGUUUGUCCUUGUUCAGGUGGACAGUUGUGUCUGUGGGCCAGUUGCGCUGUCCUGAUGAGAGAUACUUAGAGCCGCAUGUCCUUCAGCAUAUUUACAGGGUAUUGUGCAUAUUGAUAUAUAAACAUAAGCUAGUAUAUUGUCAUUCCUCCUGUUGGUAUGCACUGACCCCUUGUCUUGUCUUUUGGCAAUUGAAACUAAUAAAUUUAAAAAUCCAUUAAUUCUUGAGAUUAUAGCCUUGCUUAGAAAACUGGUUAAAAGAGG
Molecule: long non-coding RNA, 1692 nt
Organism: Liolophura sinensis
Lineage: Eukaryota; Metazoa; Mollusca; Polyplacophora; Chitonida; Chitonidae
Exons: 4
Source: RefSeq, a predicted model, not a curated record